AUUAUCUUGCCAGAUAAAUAAAGAUAUAGAGUGGAUUUCUUACAUUCAUUGAUGGAGGGGAAUUUGUUGCUUUAUGGCAUGAUUUAGAGUGGAAGCUUCUUUCAUGGGCAUGGUUAACCUGCUUAUUCUGUAUUCUAGAAAUGGCUGUGAAAUCAGCAACAAAUAUAUUUCAGGCUCCUUGGGGUUCAUAACUGACCCAUAUACAGUAAUCACAGCACUGCUAGCUGGGUUCAUUCACAACAUGGUCAACGCAUUCUUUUUCGCUGGGUUGCAACUACAAGGGAUUCUUAAAAUUUGUUGGCGCAUGAGGCUGCAUUUGAUUUGGGUCAAAUGCAAGAUGCUGAAGCUAUCCCUGCUUUUUUUGAAGCAGUUUUGAAUGAUUUUUUCUUUGCAUCCGAUUGUUCGUCAU
Long non-coding RNA from Mangifera indica (mango), 409 nucleotides. RefSeq lists it as uncharacterized. The record is from RefSeq and is a predicted model, not a curated record. The transcript is spliced from 3 exons. Lineage: Eukaryota; Viridiplantae; Streptophyta; Magnoliopsida; Sapindales; Anacardiaceae.